AAACCCUUUCCCUCCCUAUUCAGCUUCUCUCAUUUGCACCGAAAACCUAAUCCUAGUUAUUUUAUGAGGGGGCGACUGUUCACCUUGAUCUCUCCCCCAACCUCUUCUCAGGAACCUCUUUUCAUUCUCCCAAGUCCCAACUUCUUCUCCCUCUCUCUUUCUUCUUUUUCUGAUUUUUUCUCUCCACCUCUCCGAUUUCAUUAACUUUCUACCCCAACACGGAACUCCACUGUUCACUAUCACUGUCUUCUCCAUUUGAACCCAUUAGCGGCAACAGAAACUUGACAAUGGUAGUAAUUGAGUUCAAGAUUGACACCUUCGCAAUACUGCAUACACGAAUUUGACCACAAUAGCAACAGUUCUCAUCCCCAGCAUCGUGAAUCUAGGGCAUAUUACCGGUUACAGCUUUGAAUUUCAACCUCUACGGGGAAAAGAGGUAAAGUGUAUGUGAGCUUCAUCGAUUGAGAGCUAUUACGAUUUAUGAGGCAAGUAUUCGAACCAACAAUUAAAAUUGUGAAUAACUGGUUUAAGUCCAACCCCUGUUCUUUUGUCUUCUCCACCGAAUCUCUGCGCCAUUCGCUUCCUCUAUAACUCAUGAUGAUGCUCCCAUAGGUCAACAUCCUCUCUCCCUGUUCAAUCCAUAUGUAAAACACAGUCCCAAUCCAACCUUCAUCAAAUCCAUCAAGUUGGUAUUCUUCCUUCAAAGGGGUCUGUUUACAUCGCCACAACCGACCUAUGGUAGAGCACCGACAAUAAGAUAAGCAAGAAGAGAUUUCUGUUGUGGCUAACUCCCGUGCUAGAAGUGCAAGCUAGUUUGCUCUCCACCCCAACUGAGUAAAGGAGCCGUUGCUUUCUCUCACCGGAUGCUUAAUGUCACAAGCCCCAUUGCCAUUCAUUUUCAACGUCUGAGUAACCACCAUCCACCGACCCGCUCUCAUGAAAUUUAAUCAAUAGCUUCAGCCCUUUGUCACAUUCAAGGGGAGAUUUGAAGGCACAUCCCAACAUCCUACUACAGUUCUCAUAUUGGGAUAUACAUCGGUAUCAUCCUUCAUUAGAACAGGAGAUGAAGUAAUUAUUAAUGCAACAGAUGACUCAUAUAUCAGUAGGUUUUCAUUCAAUGAGUGACUCAAAGCAUGGUUGGAGACAAUGGAUAUUUCUUUUAUAUUUAGAAUUUUUUAUUUGAAGGUCAUCUUAUCUUAAAUAUGUAUCGAGGAAAAUUUGACAUUUGUAAUAUAUUUUUGUUGGUAACACAAUGGAUGUAUCAAAUUAUACAUGGCAUGUAGUUUUUUAAUACAAUAUAUAAUUUUCAUGUGA
Long non-coding RNA from Nelumbo nucifera (sacred lotus), 1314 nucleotides. RefSeq lists it as uncharacterized. Lineage: Eukaryota; Viridiplantae; Streptophyta; Magnoliopsida; Proteales; Nelumbonaceae. The record is from RefSeq and is a predicted model, not a curated record.